AUGUGGCAAAACCUCCUUCCCCGGAGAACUCUUUGUCUUCGGCAGCAUCACGCUUUACACCGAUUCGACUUUCCACCUCGGCCGGAUCAAAAACUUCGUUCCAGGACAGACCAUCAGGUUUGGAAACCUGGAUUACACUGUGGACCCUACGGCGAGCUUGCAUUUUCGGGCUGGGUACCAUUGAACGAGUUCAAUGGUACGAACUAUCCUAAGACUCCACAGGAACUGUUUAAUCUCAAAUACUCUAGCCUUAGAGUUACGGUUGACAGGGCAUUUGGAGUUCCGGAGCAUAAUUUUAAGAUCCUGGAUCAGAAGCCAUUCCAUAAUUUCCCCACCUAGGUUAAGUUUGUUCUUACUUGUUGCAUUCUGCACAACUGGAUCCUGCAAUGAGGUUGUGAUGACCUGGUGCCGUAUGAGGAAUAUGUGAUGCCCGAUGAUGUUGUGAGCUUCGUUCAUGGUGUGGAGGCAUUUGACAACGAAACCUGAAAGAACAGAAGGAUGGAGUGGGCUCAGGCAAUGUGGAAGAACAGAGAUAGAAGAGUAGGAAGAAGUAGAAGCAGCAGAAAAAGAAGAGGACAAGGAUGGACUUCCAACUAG
Molecule: ribosomal RNA, 597 nt
Filed under: Triticum aestivum (bread wheat)
Lineage: Eukaryota; Viridiplantae; Streptophyta; Magnoliopsida; Poales; Poaceae
Description: partial small subunit ribosomal RNA
Source: RNAcentral